Molecule: ribosomal RNA, 247 nt
Filed under: uncultured bacterium
Lineage: Bacteria
Description: partial 16S ribosomal RNA
Rfam family: Bacterial small subunit ribosomal RNA
Source: RNAcentral
GGUGGCGAGCGUUGUCCGGAAUUACUGGGCGUAAAGCGCACGUAGGUGGCUUGGUAAGUCGGAUGUGAAAGCCCCGGGCUCAACCUGGGAACUGCAUUCGAUACUGCUGAGCUAGAGUACGAAAGAGGGGGGUGGAAUUCCAGGUGUAGCGGUGAAAUGCGUAGAGAUCUGGAGGAACACCAGUGGCGAAGGCGGCCCCCUGGUUCGAUACUGACGCUGAGGUGCGAAAGCGUGGGGAGCAAACAGG